RNAcentral lists this long non-coding RNA (273 nucleotides) under Lathyrus oleraceus (garden pea). RNAcentral describes it as "Pisum sativum (pea) long non-coding RNA (PSAT_LNC025116)". Lineage: Eukaryota; Viridiplantae; Streptophyta; Magnoliopsida; Fabales; Fabaceae. The record is from RNAcentral.
UUCUUUGCAUGGUUUAGGAAACAACCUAUCCUUAAUGCAAAGUCAUUCACUUGAUCAAUUGAUCAAGAUGAAUUAGAUUUGAAUCAAGGAAUAUUAAGCCUCCCCAAUCAAUCCUAACUUAUCAACCUUCAACUCAUAGAUCAAAAAGAAAAAGAAAAAAAAGAAGAAGGAGAUGAACAAUGGAAAAGGAAAUGGAAAGAAUAAAGUGCAUUAAAUGAAAUAAAAUGUACCAAUCAACAAGGGUUGACCAAUGACAUUGAGGAUCAUGGUCAA